GCAUUAAUCCCCCCAGGGGAACCUGGCCCUUAAUUCGAUGAUCCACGAAUCUCUUACCUUCUCUAGUUUUCGGGUAGCUAAAUAAAAGUGCCUGAUUGUCAGCUUGUAUACCGCCGUUUCUUAGCUUGUAUCGCGAGAGGACAUAAACAGGCACCCCAGUGGUUCUCAGUAGAAGGAAUUAACUGACAAUUCAGGUAAACGUGCAGCUUAUGGGAAGGGGGUGCUGGGUUACAAUUGGGGUUUGGAAUGGCGUGGUUACCUUAAGGGUAAGACAAAAGAGUACUUGGAAGUAAUGGUUUUGGGCAAUGAAGCCGUGAAUGGUGCUCUAGUGUGUGU
RNAcentral lists this ribosomal RNA (336 nucleotides) under Lottia tenuisculpta. RNAcentral describes it as "partial 12S ribosomal RNA". Lineage: Eukaryota; Metazoa; Mollusca; Gastropoda; Lottiidae. The record is from RNAcentral.